This 232-nucleotide ribosomal RNA is filed under the name uncultured bacterium. RNAcentral describes it as "partial 16S ribosomal RNA". It matches the Rfam family "Bacterial small subunit ribosomal RNA", at positions 104 to 334 of the family's 1533-position model. The record is from RNAcentral.
CGGGGUGAGUAACGCGUGGGUAACCUGCCUUGUACUGGGGGACAACAGUUGGAAACGACUGCUAAUACCGCAUAAGCGCACAGCUUCGCAUGAAGCAGUGUGAAAAACUCCGGUGGUACAAGAUGGACCCGCGUCUGAUUAGCUGGUUGGUGAGGUAACGGCCCACCAAGGCGACGAUCAGUAGCCGGCCUGAGAGGGUGAACGGCCACAUUGGGACUGAGACACGGCCCAA